CUACGGGAUGCAGCAGUGAGGAAUAUUGCACAAUGGGGGGAACCCUGAUGCAGCAACGCCGCGUGGAGGAUGACGCAUUUCGGUGUGUAAACUCCUUUUAUAUGUCAAGAAAAUGACGGUAGCAUAUGAAUAAGCACCGGCUAACUCCGUGCCAGCAGCCGCGGUAAUACGGAGGGUGCAAGCGUUACUCGGAAUCACUGGGCGUAAAGGACGCGUAGGCGGGUUGGAAAGUCAGGUGUGAAAUCCUACAGCUUAACUGUAGAACUGCACUUGAAACUUCUAAUCUAGAGUAUGGGAGGGGGAGAUGGAAUUAGUGGUGUAGAGGUAAAAUCCGUAGAUACCACUAGGAAUACCUAAAGCGAAGGCGAUCUCCUGGAACAUUACUGACGCUAAGGCGUGAAAGCGUGGGGAGCAAACAGGAUUAGAUACCCCCGUAGUC
Molecule: ribosomal RNA, 439 nt
Filed under: uncultured bacterium
Lineage: Bacteria
Description: partial 16S ribosomal RNA
Rfam family: Bacterial small subunit ribosomal RNA
Source: RNAcentral